This 485-nucleotide ribosomal RNA is filed under the name uncultured bacterium. RNAcentral's name for it is "bacterial SSU rRNA". It matches the Rfam family "Bacterial small subunit ribosomal RNA", at positions 30 to 513 of the family's 1533-position model. The record is from RNAcentral.
AUUGAACGCUGGCGGAAUGCUUUACACAUGCAAGUCGAACGGUAGAGGGGGCAACCCCUUGAGAGUGGCGAACGGGUGAGUAAUAUAUCGGAACGUGCCCAGUCGUGGGGAUAACGUAGCGAAAGUUACGCUAAUACCGCAUACGAUCUACGGAUGAAAGCGGGGGACUCGCAAGAGCCUCGCGCGAUUGGAGCGGCCGAUAUCAGAUUAGGUAGUUGGUGGGGUAAAGGCUCACCAAGCCAACGAUCUGUAGCUGGUCUGAGAGGACGACCAGCCACACUGGAACUGAGACACGGUCCAGACUCCUACGGGAGGCAGCAGUGGGGAAUUUUGGACAAUGGACGCAAGUCUGAUCCAGCCAUUCCGCGUGCAGGAUGAAGGCCCUCGGGUUGUAAACUGCUUUUGUACGGAACGAAAGGUUCUAUUAAUACUAGGAGCUCAUGACGGUACCGUAAGAAUAAGCACCGGCUAACUACGUGCCAGCA